This is a long non-coding RNA of Esox lucius (northern pike), 1124 nucleotides long. The record is from Ensembl. Lineage: Eukaryota; Metazoa; Chordata; Actinopteri; Esociformes; Esocidae.
AGACUACAAGGUCGGGCCUGGUCGUUCCUGGAGUGGGAGACUACAAGGUCGGGCCUGGUCGUUCCUGGAGUGGGAGACUACAAGUUGCUUAAGUCUCCUGCACAGGGUGCUGUGAUUUGGAUUGUGUGUUAAAUGGGUGCCUAGACUGUUUGUGGUUACCAAAGGUCCCAUGUCACUGAUUUUAAGAGAAGUGGUGUUUACUUGUGUGAUGUCAAUAUGUAAUAUCAUAACAGCAUGGCUACCUAACCACCCCCAGCUUCCAAUAGGUUCAUCUUCUCUCCUACUCUAACUAUUUCUCUAAAUUAGAAUUUGUUCUCUGGCAACUAACGCGGUAAAAUAACUGGCUAGAUAAAUCUCACCUACUUAUCAAAACAUCUUUAAUUCAUCUGUCUAAAUUGCUCUAUUUCUCUUUACUGUUUCUGUCCAUCCCAUCAGUCACCACAACUGUCUUGUCUUGUAUUUUUCAGAUCUGACAUUGCCGACUACCGAAGGACAGACAAGGCCCAUUGCAACGGUUGGCAUGGAGCCCCACCCUCUGUCCCCAAUUCUGGCCAUCAGUGUUCUGGAUCAUGAUCUUUCAGUGUGGGCCCUGACUGCUCAGAACACUACCAAAACACUGUCCUCAAUGACAUAUGCCACUUAUCCUCCUACUAAUACCAAACAUGCAUCUCUGUAUUUAAAUAUUCCUUAACAUUACUUAGAUACUGCAUACCACAUAGUGUCCAACACCCCCCCCCCCGUCUCAGUCCUUGUGUCAGGGGACAAGGGUCAGUCGGAAUUCUGAGGUAUCCUUUUGGAUCUAAGGAAUGACCAUGCUAAUAACUGUGGUGUCCUGUUCAAUCUUAAGAGAACCUAAGUCCUUGGACUGUGUUUUAGGAUUACCUGGCUUGAUGUCUCCUAGCUGUCGCUGCUCAAAGUCCACCUGGUUGUGUUGCAGAUCUACAUAGUGAUUGUUGACCACCUGGUCACCCCUGUCUUUGUCCAACUGGCUGUGCAGCUGGUCUAGAUUCUACCUAAAGACUCAGCCCACCUGUAUUGACUGACCAGCCACUAAUCGGAACAUGCAAAAAUAUUGGCCCAAAAAGGUCAUAUAUUCUUAUAAAUAUCACCCAGCACUGCCAAAG